UGGUGACGAUGGCGAGAAGGUCACACCUGUUCCCAUACCGAACACAGAAGUUAAGCUUCUCAGCGCCGAUGGUAGUUAGGGCAUUGCCCUUGCAAGAGUAGGACGUUGCCA
RNAcentral lists this ribosomal RNA (111 nucleotides) under Ornithinibacillus halotolerans. Lineage: Bacteria; Bacillati; Bacillota; Bacilli; Caryophanales; Bacillaceae. The record is from RNAcentral.